UCCGAGUUGACCCCGGCAGUCUCCUACGAGUCCCCGGCAUAACCCGCUGGCAACAUAGGACAAGGGUUGCGCUCGUUGCGGGACUUAACCCAACAUCUCACGACACGAGCUGACGACAGCCAUGCAGCACCUGUGUAGGCUGGUAUUGCUACCUCGUCACCCUUUCAGGCUUCUACUACCUACAUGUCAAGGACAGGUAAGGUUCUUCGCGUUGCAUCGAAUUGAGCCACAUACUCCACCGCUUGUGCAGGCCCCCGUCAAUUUCUUUGAGUUUUAAUCUUGCGGCCGUAGUUCCCAGGCGGUGGAGUCAUCGCGUAAGCUUGGGCACUGCGGGGCGCAAUCACCCCCCAACACCGGCUCCACAUCGUUUACGGCGUGGACUAC
Molecule: unclassified non-coding RNA, 384 nt
Filed under: uncultured bacterium
Lineage: Bacteria
Description: contains 16S-23S intergenic spacer region
Source: RNAcentral